GGCAUCAGAGCAGGUCAUUUUGUUAGCAGAUGGAAGGCAAGCGACUCAGCCAUUGAACCCCCACCCCCGCUUUGAGUACCCAGACGCCUGGACCUAGGACAUCAUCCUCAGUAAAGGAAAUUGAGGCUUUGUGGAGUUAAGUGACUUGCCCGCAAAAGCUAGAUCUGUUUACUGGUAUGGCGACCCCUGGAUGGGAAUCUACCUGUGGUCCACCAUCAGCAGUGCCCAUGCCCCAGAACCUCUUAUGGAAGAGAAGGAACUGAAGUCCAGAGGAAGUUGUUCACAUAUUUGGAAGCCUUAGGCUAGAGAUAAAAAUGACCACAGAUGGCAUUGUUUGCAAUGAAGAGAAAUGUAGAUAAGAGGAAAGAUGCAGUGACUUACUUGGAUUUUCUAUAUAAAUCAUCACAGCACCUGAAAGCACAGGUCUAUACUAGGCAGACUGAAAUAAUUUUUCCUUAGAAAAGCAUCUUGGCUCCAGUGAGAGAAACAACAAGAAAUGGACGCAGCUAGAGUCUUAAAAAGCUGAUUAUUAUUUGGGAGAUGAUGAACAGAGACUAGC
Long non-coding RNA from Heterocephalus glaber (naked mole-rat), 559 nucleotides. The record is from Ensembl. Lineage: Eukaryota; Metazoa; Chordata; Mammalia; Rodentia; Bathyergidae.